CCUGAUGCAGCCAUGCCGCGUGUGUGAAGAAGGCCUUCGGGUUGUAAAGCACUUUCAGUUGUGAGGAAAAGUUAGUAGUUAAUACCUGCUAGCCGUGACGUUAACAACAGAAGAAGCACCGGCUAACUCCGUGCCAGCAGCCGCGGUAAUACGGAGGGUGCGAGCGUUAAUCGGAAUUACUGGGCGUAAAGCGCACGCAGGCGGUUUGUUAAGCUAGAUGUGAAAGCCCCGGGCUCAACCUGGGAUGGUCAUUUAGAACUGGCAGACUAGAGUCUUGGAGAGGGGAGUGGAAUUCCAGGUGUAGCGGUGAAAUGCGUAGAUAUCUGGAGGAACAUCAGUGGCGAAGGCGACUCCCUGGCCAAAGACUGACGCUCAUGUGCGAAAGUGUGGGUAGCGAACAGGAUUAGAUACCCUGGUAGUCCACACCGUAAACGCUGUCUACUAGCUGUGUGUGUCUUUAAGACGUGCGUAGCGAAGCUAACGCGCUAAGUAGACCGCCUGG
This 502-nucleotide ribosomal RNA is filed under the name Alteromonas sp. QPM_3_84. Its description in RNAcentral is "bacterial SSU rRNA". It matches the Rfam family "Bacterial small subunit ribosomal RNA", at positions 382 to 876 of the family's 1533-position model. The record is from RNAcentral. RNAcentral also lists the same sequence under 2 other names. Lineage: Bacteria; Pseudomonadati; Pseudomonadota; Gammaproteobacteria; Alteromonadales; Alteromonadaceae.